UAGUCCACGCCCUAAACGAUGUGCGCUGGAUGUCGGGAACACAGGUUCUCGGUGUCGGAGCUAACGUGUUAAGCGCACCGCCUGGGGAGUACGGCCGCAAGGUUAAAACUCAAAGGAAUUGACGGGGCCCGCACAAGCGGUGGAGCAUGUGGUUUAAUUCGAAGCAACGCGCAGAACCUUACCAGCUCUUGACAUGGUGGUUGCGGUUCCGGGAGACCGGUUCCUCAGUUCGGCUGGGCCAUCACAGGUGCUGCAUGACUGUCGUCAGCUCGUGUCGUGAGAUGUUGGGUUAAGUCCCGCAACGAGCGCAACCCUUGCCUUCAGUUGCCAGCAGGUUGGGCUGGGCACUCUGAAGGGACUGCCGGUGGCAAGCCGGAGGAAGGUGGGGAUGACGUCAAGUCCUCAUGGCCCUUAUGGGGCUGGGGCUACACACGUGCUACAAUGGCGGUGACAGA
RNAcentral lists this ribosomal RNA (455 nucleotides) under uncultured bacterium. RNAcentral's name for it is "bacterial SSU rRNA". It matches the Rfam family "Bacterial small subunit ribosomal RNA", at positions 791 to 1243 of the family's 1533-position model. The record is from RNAcentral.